This 253-nucleotide ribosomal RNA is filed under the name uncultured bacterium. Its description in RNAcentral is "partial 16S ribosomal RNA". It matches the Rfam family "Bacterial small subunit ribosomal RNA", at positions 524 to 776 of the family's 1533-position model. The record is from RNAcentral.
UACAGAGGUCUCAAGCGUUGUUCGGAUUCAUUGGGCGUAAAGGGUGCGUAGGCGGCUUAGCAAGUCGGAAGUGAAAUCCCUCGGCUCAACCAAGGAAGUGCUUUCGAAACUGCUGAGCUUGAGUACUUAAGAGGAUCGCGGAAUUCCCGGUGUAGAGGUGAAAUUCGUAGAUAUCGGGAGGAACACCAGUGGCGAAGGCGGCGAUCUGGGAAGAUACUGACGCUGAGGUGCGAAAGCGUGGGGAGCAAACAGG